RNAcentral lists this long non-coding RNA (2716 nucleotides) under Penaeus japonicus. RNAcentral describes it as "uncharacterized LOC122255645". Lineage: Eukaryota; Metazoa; Arthropoda; Malacostraca; Decapoda; Penaeidae. The record is from RNAcentral.
CAGUUGCAUUGGAUCAGUUAUAUUUUCUGAAAGAUAUAUCUCUGUAAGCUUUUACCUCAACUUGAUAACAAUCAGCAAUGAAGAGGAAUAUACAUACAUACUGUAAAUCAAUAGUACUUUUUCAUUGAAUACAUCAAAAUGUAUCAGAAAAAAGUGGUAUUUAAAAAUCAAGGACAAUAAAUGCAUGCAAUCAGUAAGGCUUCCUAUAGUUUCUUGUCUCUCUAUCUCCAAGUUAAUAACAAGAAGCUGUUCUACAUUAUUAAUCAACAUUUGUGCAUUUCUAUUUUCAAUAUACGCCUUUUUCAUUCCAUCCCAUGCAGAACGAGUAUCUCCAGUCUGAGGUCUCUACCUCCGUCUGUUCUUCCUAAAACACGUAAUCAUUGCUUCUUUAUCAAUAAAAUGUAUAAUUGAAUGCAUAUGUUGGGAUAGAUUUCCAUUAUGCUAUGACUCAGUAACAUUUAUUUUAGAUACCUAACAAAAUUCAUAAAAAUAAAAGUGUAUCCAUUUGAUUGGAUAUGUAAUUACUGAAACAGUUAUUAACCUCAUAGGAAACCCAACUUUAGAGUUUAUCUGAAAAGGAUUAAUUGCAGAAACUAUGAAAACGUCUCAUAGAAUUCUGAAGCAGGUUUAUCAUUAUCAUGUUUCUUGAUUUCAAAGAGAAGGAAAAGGGAAUACACAUGAACUCAAGGCAGGAAAGAAAAUGAAACAUUGCAAAGGGCAUUCCUAAAAAGCUGAUAUAAAACAGUUAUUAUUCAGUUAGCAUUACAGGAGAAUAGUUGAGAUUCAUAUAUAUGAAGAGCAGCAUGAAAUUUAGAGAAAAUAUUUCUUUUACAACAUACUGACACAUUUAAUGUAGACAGUCAAAAUAUGCACUAUGCCUUUGUUGGAAUACCUUAGACGUAGUUUGGAUAAAUGAAUACAAUGUACUGAUCAAUGUAACAAAGUACUUGAAUAGAAACACAUGAAGCCGUUCUUGGUUGUGUUCUGCUAGUCAGAAUUAUAUUAUCGGAUUAUCUUUUGUAAUGCCAUUUCUUUUGGAUCAAGUGUAUGAAAAACAAUAUAUUGUUGAUGUAUCUAUAAAUCGUAUAUGGGUCUCUCUUGAUUUAGAAUUAAAUGAUUUUGUAUGUAGCAAUACAUUUUCACAUGCCAAAGUGAUAAUGGGCUCUCAUGCAGUACUGGUUAGUGUAGUGCGAAUUAUUGUGAUAGGCCGUUAUUUAUGGUAAUUGGUCAUUGUAUCAUUAUUCAUGUAUUUUCAUGUAGCACUGUGAUAGCACAACCAUUAUAAUAUUUCAUGUCCCAUCAAAAGAACACAUCAUGCGACAUUUGUAAAUGAUGUAUCAUAUAUAUAAGAUUCUUGUAAUGGGUACUUUAUGUAACAGAUAUCUGACAUGUCUGUCAAAUUUUGGCUGGGAGCUUCUAACAAGAAAUCCUGUUGUAUGGUAGGAAACAUUCCUGAGAUGACAAAAUAUGUAUUUUUUUUCUCUAUGAGUUUCUGAAGCAUACAUAUGAGAAAUAUUAUACCUUGAGAGGUAAACAGUAAGAAAUGUUUAAACAAAAAAUCUAACAGGCAAAAAACAAACAAAAAACAAGAAAUCUUGUUAGAUAUUGCAGGCCAAAAUCUGCCAGCAUGUUUUUAGCAAAAUGAUGUCAAGCACAAAGGUUGAUGUAAGGUGCCUUGCAAAAUAUAAUAUCAGUAACAAGUACAAGUAAGUCUUUUUACUAGUACGAGCAUGUAGUGGUUAGGUGUUGUGUAAUGUCAUUUGGUACAAAAACUACAAGGUGCAUUUCAUAAGAAAUUGCAGGUGUUGCAAAUAUAUAUUAUUCAUGUUUAAGGUAAUUUUCAUAAUGGUACUAAACAAUUAAGUAUGUUAUAUCUUGACCUUCAUAAUUAUAGUAUGACUCCAUACUUAUGAUGUGGAUUAAGUUUCUUGUACCAAAUAUAAUGAGAUUGAAUGCUACAAUCACUGCAAAAUAUACUCUGUUACAUUCAUCAUUAUGCCUUCAAUUUUGCAUUUUGUUGCAUAUUUUCAUCCAGAAUCAAUUGAUGGCCAAAUAUCAAUAUUCAUAUUCUACUGGAACAAUGUUUUUUUUUCUUUCUUUCUUCCAUCAUUUCUUUAAUAAUGAUAUUUUUUGUAUAAUUCUAGAUUUGUUGUUUUGUAGUUCCAUACAUUCCUACUCUGGAUUCACUUCCCCUUUGCAUUUACUCGCAUAUAACUGGUUUAGUAAUGAUGCAAUCAUUCUCUUGCAAUAUUCUUCAUUUACUGACAAACAGAGGGGAAGAUCCUUCAAUUCUACAUGAAUAUAGGUAAAGAACUUGCUUCCUAUACCACUAUUAUGAGUUAUGUAUUUUUUUUUUAUAGUGUUAUCAUACAAAUUAUUCUACUUCUGAAUUAAAAAUUGAUUUUUUUUUUUUUUUUUUUUUUUUUUUUAAUGUUUUCAUCAAAUAAACUUUUGUUUUACAUAAGUAAAAUGAAACUAAAGCCUUUCUUUUUUGUUCAGUUUUUCUUAAAGAGCUUUGAAUAAGGCUCUUAUUACAUGCCAAAAAUGCACAAUCCCCUAAAAACAUGUUGAUUUGUUGUUUCAGGACAAGACUAUCAAAAUAAUAACCAAAGUUUUUGGGAUCCUCUGUGUAAACAAGGAAAUAUGUUGAGGCAACUUUGUAUACACUUUAGUUGAAUUAUUUCAUAGUUUAAGGUUAAUAAAAGAUCAUCCAACA